UCCCUGGUGGCUCAGAUGGUAAAGAAUCUGCCUGCAAUGCAGAAGACCUAGGUUCAAUCCGUGGUUUGGGAA
Molecule: transfer RNA, 72 nt
Filed under: Bos taurus (domestic cattle)
Lineage: Eukaryota; Metazoa; Chordata; Mammalia; Artiodactyla; Bovidae
Also listed under: 1 other name
Rfam family: tRNA
About the family: Transfer RNA (tRNA) molecules are approximately 80 nucleotides in length. Their secondary structure includes four short double-helical elements and three loops (D, anti-codon, and T loops).
Source: Rfam by way of RNAcentral